GCAGCCCAGAGUCUGAAUCAGCUUGUGUGUUAGUGGAACGGUCUGGAAAGUCCGACGGUACAGGGUGAUAGUCCCGUACACCAAAAUGCACAGGUUGUGAACUCGAAGAGUAGGGCGGGACACGUGGUAUCCUGUCUGAAUAUGGGGGGACCAUCCUCCAAGGCUAAAUACUCCUGACUGACCGAUAGUGAACCAGUACCGUGAGGGAAAGGCGAAAAGAACCCCGGCGAGGGGAGUGAAAAAGAACCUGAAACCGUGUACGUACAAGCAGUGGGAGCACCUUCGGGUGUGACUGCGUACCUUUUGUAUAAUGGGUCAGCGACUUAUAUUCUGUAGCAAGGUUAACCGUAUAGGGGAGCCGCAGGGAAACCGAGUCUUAACUGGGCGUUAAGUUGCAGGGUAUAGACCCGAAACCCGGUGAUCUAGCCAUGGGCAGGUUGAAGGUUGGGUAACACUAACUGGAGGACCGAACCGACUAAUGUUGAAAAAUUAGCGGAUGACUUGUGGCUGGGGGUGAAAGGCCAAUCAAACCGGGAGAUAGCUGGUUCUCCCCGAAAGCU
This 560-nucleotide ribosomal RNA is filed under the name Klebsiella pneumoniae. Its description in RNAcentral is "partial 23S ribosomal RNA". It matches the Rfam family "Bacterial large subunit ribosomal RNA", at positions 296 to 867 of the family's 2925-position model. The record is from RNAcentral. Lineage: Bacteria; Pseudomonadati; Pseudomonadota; Gammaproteobacteria; Enterobacterales; Enterobacteriaceae.